This is a long non-coding RNA of Cucumis sativus (cucumber), 403 nucleotides long. RefSeq lists it as uncharacterized. The record is from RefSeq and is a predicted model, not a curated record. The transcript is spliced from 2 exons. NCBI's taxonomy places the organism in Eukaryota, Viridiplantae, Streptophyta, Magnoliopsida, Cucurbitales, Cucurbitaceae.
UUGAUUUCUUUCAGAAAUUAUCAGAACUGCAUCGGAGCUUCGUGCGAAAAUAGGAAAGCUGAAGAAAAGGAGGACGGAGGAAACCAAGCUCGCUAAAGUAGAGAAGGUUCAUACAAAUGGAGACAUCUCUCACCAUCACAAUGGUUUCUCUAAUGCUAAGCUGGAUGAUAUUCAAGAAUUUUUAUCUGGUUUGAAGAAGAUUUGAAGUUAUUUCACCAUGACUUCAAUCCUACUGUAUAUCAUGCUUGCUUACGAAGCUUGUCACUAUGAUCAGUUCUUCAAUGUUUAAACUUUAUUUAGCAGUUAUGAGAUAUUCUAUACCAAAUUUGUAUGAUAUAUCAUUUUGGAUCGAUGACUAUCCUCAAUAAAUCUCCUUAGAGAGUUUGCAGAUGAGUUGCCUCAA